CAGCCGCCGCGGUAAUACCGGCGGCCCGAGUGGCGGUCACUAUUAUUGGGCUUAAAGCGUCCGUAGCCGGGUUGGGAAGUCCUCCGGGAAAUCUGGCCGCUUAACGGUCAGAAUGCCGGAGGAUACUCCCAGCCUAGGGAGCGGGAGAGGCCGAGGGGAUUCCCGGAGUAGGGGGGAAAUCCUAUAAUCCCGGGAGGACCACCUGUGGCGGAGGCGCUCGGCUGGAACGCGUCCGACGGUGGGGGACGAAGGCCAGGGGAGCAAACCGGAUUAGAUACCCGGGUAGUCCUGGCUGUAAACGAUGCGGACUUUGUGUCGGACAAGCUAUGAGCUUGUCCGGUGCCGGAGGGAAACCGUUAAGUCCGCCGCCUGGGGAGUACGGCCGCAAGGCUGAAACUUAAAGGAAUUGGCGGG
Molecule: ribosomal RNA, 414 nt
Filed under: uncultured microorganism
Description: bacterial SSU rRNA
Rfam family: Archaeal small subunit ribosomal RNA
Source: RNAcentral